AUCCGGAACUGUCAGGCUAGAGUGCAGGAGAGGAAGGUAGAAUUCCCGGUGUAGCGGUGAAAUGCGUAGAGAUCGGGAGGAAUACCAGUGGCGAAGGCGGCCUUCUGGACUGACACUGACACUGAGGUGCGAAAGCGUGGGUAGCAAACAGGAUUAGAUACCCUGGUAGUCCACGCCGUAAACGAUGUCGACCAGCCGUUGGGUGCCUAGAGCACUUUGUGGCGAAGUUAACGCGAUAAGUCGACCGCCUGGGGAGUACGGCCGCAAGGUUAAAACUCAAAUGAAUUGACGGGGGCCCGCACAAGCGGUGGAGCAUGUGGUUUAAUUCGAUGCAACGCGAAGAACCUUACCUACCCUUGACAUCUACAGAAGCCGGAAGAGAUUCUGGUGUGCCUUCGGGAACUGUAAGACAGGUGCUGCAUGGCUGUCGUCAGCUCGUGUUGUGAAAUGUUGGGUUAAGUCCCGUAACGAGCGCAACCCUUGUCCUUAUUUGCCAGCGAGUAAUGUCGGGAACUCUAAGGAGACUGCCGGUGACAAACCGGAGGAAGGUGGGGACGACGUCAAGUCAUCAUGGCCCUUACGGGUAGGGCUACACACGUGCUACAAUGGCCGGUACAAAGGGCUGCGAGCUCGCGAGAGUCAGCGAAUCCCUUAAAGCCGGUCUCAGUCCGGAUCGGAGUCUGCAACUCGACUCCGUGAAGUCGGAAUCGCUAGUAAUCGUGAAUCAGAAUGUCACGGUGAAUACGUUCCCGGGCCUUGUACACACCGCCCGUCACACCAUGGGAGUGGACUGCACCAGAAGUGGUUAGCCUAUACGCAA
The sequence is a ribosomal RNA, 820 nucleotides long. It matches the Rfam family "Bacterial small subunit ribosomal RNA", at positions 625 to 1444 of the family's 1533-position model.